This 20-nucleotide microRNA is filed under the name Pongo pygmaeus (Bornean orangutan). RNAcentral's name for it is "ppy-miR-1233". Lineage: Eukaryota; Metazoa; Chordata; Mammalia; Primates; Hominidae. The record is from miRBase by way of RNAcentral.
UGAGCCCUUUCCUCCCGCAG